Molecule: ribosomal RNA, 441 nt
Filed under: uncultured bacterium
Lineage: Bacteria
Description: partial 16S ribosomal RNA
Rfam family: Bacterial small subunit ribosomal RNA
Source: RNAcentral
CCUACGGGUGGCAGCAGUGGGGAAUAUUGCACAAUGGGGGAAACCCUGAUGCAGCGACGCCGCGUGAGUGAAGAAGUAUUUCGGUAUGUAAAGCUCUAUCAGCAGGAACGAGACAAGACGGUACCUGACUAAGAAGCCCCGGCUAACUACGUGCCAGCAGCCGCGGUAAUCCGUAGGGGGCAAGCGUUAUCCGGAAUCACUGGGUGUAAAGGGAGCGUAGACGGCUGUGCAAGCCUGAAGUGAAAGGCGGGGGCCCAACCCCAGGACUGCAUUGGGAACUGUACGGCUGGAGUGCAGGAGAGGUAAGUGGAAUUCCUAGUGUAGCGGUGAAAUGCGUAGAUAUUAGGAGGAACACCAGUGGCGAAGGCGGCUUACUGGACUGUAACUGACGUUGAGGCUCGAAAGCGUGGGGAGCAAACAGGAUUAGAUACCCGUGUAGUC